GCGGGAGUAGCUCAGUUGGUAGAGCGUUGGCUUCCCAAGCCGAAGGUCGCGGGUUCGAACCCCGUUUCCCGCU
RNAcentral lists this transfer RNA (73 nucleotides) under Cyclobacteriaceae bacterium. Its description in RNAcentral is "tRNA-Gly". It matches the Rfam family "tRNA". Rfam says of the family: Transfer RNA (tRNA) molecules are approximately 80 nucleotides in length. Their secondary structure includes four short double-helical elements and three loops (D, anti-codon, and T loops). The record is from RNAcentral. Lineage: Bacteria; Pseudomonadati; Bacteroidota; Cytophagia; Cytophagales; Cyclobacteriaceae. RNAcentral also lists the same sequence under 1 other name.